RNAcentral lists this small RNA (212 nucleotides) under Photorhabdus asymbiotica. RNAcentral's name for it is "GlmZ RNA activator of glmS mRNA". It matches the Rfam family "GlmZ RNA activator of glmS mRNA". Rfam says of the family: This RNA was discovered in E. coli during a large scale screen. The sraJ gene was expressed in early logarithmic phase, but its level decreased with cell growth. Lineage: Bacteria; Pseudomonadati; Pseudomonadota; Gammaproteobacteria; Enterobacterales; Morganellaceae. The record is from RNAcentral.
GUAGAUGCUCAUCCUAUUUCUUAUGACAGUAUAGGCUUCAUAAACCCAGGGAUGAUGCAGAGCCGAUUAUCGGUGCCUAUUGUCCAUGUCACAGAUGAAUAAGAUGUAGUUAUCUUUUCAUCACCGAUCGGACUCAACGUUGAGUGAGGCACUAUCCGUCUGUAGACCUGAUUGUAUUUAUACACCUAUCUUUCUAAGGUAGGUGUUUUUUU